Molecule: ribosomal RNA, 464 nt
Filed under: uncultured bacterium
Lineage: Bacteria
Description: partial 16S ribosomal RNA
Rfam family: Bacterial small subunit ribosomal RNA
Source: RNAcentral
CUACGGGUCGCAGCAGUGGGGAAUAUUGCACAAUGGGCGCAAGCCUGACGCAGCCAUGCCGCGUGUAUGAAGAAGGCCUUCGGGUUGUAAAGUACUUUCAGCGGGGAGGAAGGGAGUAAAGUUAAUACCUUUGCUCAUUGACGUUACCCGCAGAAGAAGCACCGGCUAACUCCGUGCCAGCAGCCGCGGUAAUACGGAGGGUGCAAGCGUUAAUCGGAAUUACUGGGCGUAAAGCGCACGCAGGCGGUUUGUUAAGUCAGAUGUGAAAUCCCCGGGCUCAACCAGGGAACUGCAUCUGAUACUGGCGAGCUUGAGUCUCGUAGAGGGGGGUAGAAUUCCAGGUGUAGCGGUGACAUGCGUAGAGAUCUGGAGGAAUACCGGUGGCGAAGGCGGCCCCCUGGACGAAGACUGACGCUCAGGUGCGAAAGCGUGGGGAGCAAACAGGAUUAGAUACCCUCGUAGUC